UCUACACGCUUCUUAAACCGCCGGCUGCCCACUGGAAGGUUAGCUAAAUGUUGACCGCCCGUUUGGUCGUCCACCGCUUCAUCCGGGCCGUCGAUGUCCGCCCCGUCGAUGUAUAAAUUCCGCUUGGCGGGGAUUUCUUAGUUGCCUUUCCCCGCUCGGGGUUGGGUCAUUAGGAUUUUAGGUUAUUGGGGAUCGUUGUUUUCGCUGAGUUUGGUUUGUUUCAUGGAUCAGUUUCUGUUCCUGUUUCUGUUGUUCGUGAGUUUGAUGAUUCAGGAGGAGCGGAGGAGGGCCAGAUCUUGAACAGUUAUGUCAGCGAUCGGCAAGAUUGAGGGUUAGAUCUGAUUGUAAUUGUAGCAAGCCUGCUGUUUUUUUGGAUUGAGCUAAUCUUUUUAGGGUUUCUCGCUUUGCUGGCGACGAUGAUCUGGAUAUUGCUUGUUUUCGGAACGAUUUGGUGGUGUGGAUGGUUUUGAUGAUUUGUUGUUACGGAAACAGCUUCCUCGGGUUUAUUUUCGUAGGCUGGAGUUCGUAGAUUAAGCGACCUGAUUUUCUCGUUCGGAAGCGUUGAGGCCCUGCUUGGAGAUGGCAGCUGACGGGAAUUGGUUUUUCUUUUUGUUCCGUCUGUUUUUGAAGUUUUUGAUUUGCAAUCUGGUCGGUUGUAGUACAUGAGGAUGACGUGGAGUCUAUUUCUCUGUGUAAUUGUGAUAGGCAACCAGAGGAUUGUUUGGAGGUUGGCGUACUUUCAAUCUAAUACUUGCAUGUCGCCUCGGUAGAGGAGUUUGUUGGUCAUCAUGGUGGUUUGUUUUGGCUAAUUAGGCAUAUUACCGAGAUGGUUGGAUGAGUUCUAUUAGGCUUAACUUCCUUUUUGUUGGAUAUAGGUUUCGCUGUUUAUAUUCGUGAAUUGGAGACCAGUUUCAGCGAUGGGGUGGAAGGAAUGGACUCUGAUGUGGUUCUGUUUUUUAUUAUGAGGCGGUUCAGUUCCAUUCUAGAGUUUGCUUUCUAUCAAGGGGAAUCCUAUUACGCGAUAUUGAUUUUAGCUACUUAUUUGGUUCUUGUAGAGGUUCUUCUCCGUUCAUGGUGUAAUGAAGAAGCCUUUUUUGUUCGUACAUCAGUUGUAGAGCUCGGAAGAUCCUGCUUUUAAGCUAUCUGCUAACAGACAAGUGCAGUGUCUCUGGGACAAAUUUUAGCCUAAGACGCGAUUUUUUGGACUUUUAAGAUACCCAGCGUUUUUUAAGUUCCCAAAAUUAUCGGUUGUUCGAUUUCUAUGUUUACGGUCGGAUCACUUUGCAGGGUCUAAAUUGCGGGAUACCAUGUAGUGAUCGAUCUGAGACGAGAACCUGGAGCCGCAAUCGACGGGCCUUUGAGUUGACCGUCUGACCUAUAUAACUUUGUGGUUUGGUAUGGCUCCUCUGUUGUUAUCAUUGGAAUUUUUUUUUUUAUCAGUUAUUGGUUAUCUCUAACUGCCUGCAGGCUAUUAACCUCCGUCCCAUUCAAACUUGGACAAAAUGCGGACAUGAUUUUAGUUUUUUGUUGGCCGGUAGUCCAUCGUCGACAAUUAUGGCUUCGUUCUUCUUUUGAAGAUUCAUUAUUUAUAUGAGGAUGUCUUUGCUGGUGAACCACGUUGCCUGAGUGGGGAUCGUAUUUGUGGAUGGGCAUUCCUUUGUGUACGGUGGAAACAGUUAUCCUUCGAGCUUGUUUUAGACUUUCCGUUGAGCUCUUUUUUGGUCAUCCUUUUGAUGGUAGAAUAUUGCAGCUUUGAUCAUGCGUUGGGAUUUCUGUUCGGCUCAAUGUAGGAAUUUUUAUUAUUUCAUUUUCAUUUCGGUGAAAAUCGUCUUGGUGCUUCAGGAGGUGUGUUUGCAGAUAAAUGAAGAGUAUCUAUCCAUGUGGAAAAUGGUUCCUUUAUUUAGUUGGCUUAUUUCUUGGAGUUUGGGAUGGAAUUGCGGAAUGCAUCGAAGGUGGUUGAUUAGGAGUUGGCACGUGUUGCUUUGCUUUUGUCAUAAUUUUGACUUGAUGUGAACAGAUAAAAAAAAAUCGUCGUGGUGCUUGAGGAGCGGGUGCUUGUAUAUAGAUGAAAGUGUAUUUCGUCGGUGAUCAAGUUGGAGAAGGGUUCCUUUGUUUAGUUGGUCUAUGUUCUUUGGGGGAAAUCAAACCAUGGGAGUUGGGAUUGGACUGUGGAAUGCAUCGAAGGUGGUUAAUUAGGAGUGGGCGUGUGUUUUCGUCCGUCUUAAUUUCGGCUUGGUGUCGCCGAAUCGUUCUAUUGAUAUCUUUAUGGCUUCGUGGAAGAAUCUGUUUUUCCCCCCUGCUUGGCCGUCGUCCUUGCCGUCGGAAAGUUGUUUCCACCGUGCUCAGGUUUUCUAAGUUAAAAAGCUUUUUUUCCUUGUACAGUGAUGGAGGAUUGUUGUCAAGCCUUGUUAUCCAGUUCACAGAUUACGUUACUUGUUAAGUAGUUUAGAGGGAUGAUCCUUUGUUAGGGUUGGGAUUCAUCCGUUGAUCUUGAUUGCAAUUUAGUGACUUGCUGCGAGAUUGCUGUUGGAGUUGUCAGCUUGACGGAUUCUGUUUUGGAGGUCUUUUCCUGGUCUGUUGUUUGAAGUCCUUGUACCUCUAUGUUGGAAAUUGUAAUCUUUUUAAUCUUCUGUGUGCUCGUUUUAGGUAUUAGCUUUAGUCACCUGAUCUUGGACAGGUGGAAUGUCUUGUAAUAAAAUCUUGUGACUUGCAAUUAGUUUUUUUGAAAUCAGUUAUUGCCUUGCAGGCACUUCAGUUAAUCUGUUAAUGAACCAGUGACAAAAGCGUGCAAUACGAUUUUUUUUUUUGGUUAAAUAAUUUUAUUUAAUUAUGAAUGCAUUGCAGUGUAUAUCUGUUUAAUAGUUUUUUUUUUGGGUAUUUGCAGUGAUUUGAUAGCUUUUCAGUAUGGUCGCAUGUUUCUUUCAGUUUAGACAAUUAUUAAUUGUAAAAUUGGCUGAACAUCUUUUAUUGGAGUGGAUUCUCUUAUUUAAGUUGGAUUGUUCUAGAUGUUGAAGUCGGUGAUGAUUUGACACAUCUAAGAUCUAGGCUAGUUCGAAAUCUAAGGUAGGUAGGACGUGUCCUAAAUAAAACCGUGUAAAAAAUCAUAUAAAGAUAUCGGUGGAGUUUGUAGUUAUUUGUUACAGUUGCGUAUUGUUGGAAUUGUUAGAACUUAAAAGGAUGAUUGUGUAUCUAGCAGUUACAUUGUUAUGGGCGUGUAUUUUGUCAGUACUCGUUUGAUAGAUUAGUAAAAUGAGUGCGGAGUUUCCCAGAGCGAACCUAUCUCGUGAAGUGUGCAUUGAUAGAAUUGUUGGAAUUCGAAAAGAUGAUUGUGUGUACUUACAUAGAAUUGUUGGAAUUCGAAAAGAUGAUUGUGUAUACUUACAUUGUUGUAGGCGUGUAUUCUGUUAGAAUUACUUGGCGCUCUAAUAGAUACGUAAAAUAUAUUGAAUGUUCCCACAGCGAACCUAUUUUUUUGUCUCGUGAAGUUGAGGGCGUCGUUGUCAACCUUGUUUUCUAUUAAACUUUGUAUACUUUAUAGAACUACGGAGGUUCCCAGAACGAACCUAGCUCGUGAAGUGUGUAUUGUUAGAAUUCGAAAAGAUGAUUGUGUAUUACAUUGUUGUAGGCGUGUAUUUUAUUAGAAUUCCCUGGGCGCUCUAAUAGAUACGGAAAAUAGGUGCGAAGGUUCCCAGAUCUAUCCUAUUUUUUAACUCGUGAAGUUAAGGUCGUCGUUGUGAACUUUGAACGACGAACUUUGUUUUCUAUUAAACUUUGUAUAAUUUAUAGAACUACUUUAAGUUUGAACAAUGGAAAACCUAUAAUUAUGAUGUUUGUGGGAGAGUAUGUUGACAAGGGUAACACUGUAGUGCUAUUUCGGUCGAUGACCAGAUCAUGUUGGAAAAUUUUGACGGAUUUUGGUCGUGGGGGAUUCUGAUGUUAACGUUUCAAACCAGAACAUUUUAUUUAAGUGUUGGUGGGACAAAUCGUAGGAGGCGGAUGCCAUAACAUGACCAUGCAAAAUUAUGUUACUCUUGUAUGAUUUUCCAUCUCUGUCUUAGUACUUGAAUGUAUGACAAGGUGUAUAUGUUAUGCUUUAAGAAGCAAACUGUCUAAAGGGCAUUAUUUUCAUUUUGGAAUUGCAAUUUGGGGAAUAUUUGACUACUCUUAAAACUCCCAGCCUAAGAUGGGGAACCUUAUAGGAGAUUUCUCUUUUAUGGUAUCGUAAGUUCUUUUUUGAUGGUGCUGGUGAAGAUCAUCUGAACUGUAUUUCCUUGGGAAGAACUGGUGGUGCUAGUACAUCCUGUAGAUUGGACUUUAGUACAAGUAUUUGUUUUCUCUGGCUUUUAGGUCGAGAGUAUGUUUUUCCCUUGUUUGUAGAUUGGUGAAUGCCGUUUAAUCUUUAUUUUUUUAAGUGUCAGGCUUUUAGGUCGUGAAUAUGUUUUUUCUCGUUUGUAAAUUGAUUAAGGCCAUUUAAUCUUAAUUUUUAGGUCGAAAAUAUGUUUUUCCCUUAUUUGUAGAUUGAUGAAGGCCAUUUAAUCUGUCUUUUAAGUUGUCACGUAUGACCUGUCCUCAGUUUCAGCAGUUGGUUAAUAAUUUUCAGUGAAAUUGUCCUUUGAUUGGGCCGAAGUCAUCUUGACAUUCAGUUGAUUAAUAGAGCAUGUUAUGUUUUCGAACAUUUCACGAUGCUGGAACGGAAUGUUAUGUUAUUGUGUUACAUUGUUGCUGUGGGUCUGUUUGUGAGCUUUCCUAAUGGUCUCAAUUAACUCAUAACCUCUAUACUGAAAAUCAAAAAUGAAAUUUUCCUAGUUUUAGAAGAUUUGUUGAGGGUAGGUUAACUUUCCUAAUGGUUUCAAUUCAUGGUUCCUUACUGAAGCACAUGGAAAAAUUUCCUAGCUGUAGAGAGGCGUUAGUUUUCGAUGUAUUUUCUUAUUAGGGCGUGUUAUAUUGUCGAAUAUUAACUAUGAUGGAAAUGUAAUAUUUUUUCCUGGGUGCAUGUUCCUUCUUGAGCUUUUAUGUGAUGGGCAAGUGGGUGCCUGUUCCUUCUUGAGCUUUGAUGUUUGGGUGACAUUCUCUUUUCCCUAAUAGGCUAAUACUAAUACCAAGGGUCCCAUUCGUAUGUAGCAUUAUCGAGUCGUAGUUACAUAAAAGAAAUCAGUUCGUGUUUAUCAUUGUGGAGCCGUUGUUCUAUCAAAGAAGUCGGUGUUCGUGGAUAAACAUUUAAGUUGUGGCUUCUAGUCCACUAAUGUGUUGUCUCACGUAUUCCAGUUUUUUCUUAUUUUUCAAUAUAUGUUGAAUUUUCUCUUAUUUUUCAAUAUAUGUUGAAAUUUCAUCAUAUCAUAUCUUUAAAAUGAUUCCAUAAGAGAAAUCAGUUCGUGUGUAUCAUUCUGGAGGUGUUGUUAUCGGUACGUAGGUGAUAGAUGAACAUUUAAGUUUAAUUCAUGUUCUUGUGUAGCUUUGCAAAAAAUACUAAAUUGGUAACUACGUUUCUUACUGUAGUCUAAGGUACUUCUUGUUACUUAUUUGCCAUUGGACAUAUUUGCCGUUUGACAAUCACAAUCUAUCUCAUUGAUAUUUGAUAUUUGCUGUGUAUCUGAUCCCUUCAUAUUCUCCCCUGUAAUUUGAAAGCCAAAUAGAGACUUAACUUUUUUUUUUUUAAUGUUUAUAUGCUACCCAACACGUGUUUUAUGACAUUUACUAGUUUUGUAACUAUGCAUGAGGAUAUUGCAUGUCGUAUAAGGAGGUAAUAAGUAAGUAUUUUUAAUAUGUUGAGAAAACAUAUUUUCCGAUAUUUUGCAGGCGAGAAAAGAAUUUGUAUAAGUAAAAGAUAAGCGUGUCUUCAAUCAAGCGCAAGUGAAAGAAAAGGAUCUCUUUGAAGAGAGAGAAAAGAAUUUCUAUUAUGUUAUUUUGAAGGAAAAAUAAGCCUGUCAUUUCAAUUCAAACCUGAUCUUCUAGCAAGUAAUAAGAAUCGUAGGCUCCCUGGAUAUGAGGCCUUUCAUUGACUAUUCUUCCUGGGGUAAAUUCCAUAAUAAAUUGUUUGGGCAUAUUUUAUGUUGGAAGGACAAACGGGACAAACGGAGGCCAAGAAAGUGUCUGAUUUAUAUUUUUAUAUAUCAAGUAACCUGCUCAUCAUACUUCUAUUCAACAUCAAGUAAAUUAAAGGGGCUGAAACUGAAUUUAAAGAGAUGCUAAAGAGAUGUGGAAGCAAGUGCCACUACAAGACCCUCUUACUAAAAUAUAAAGAUGCAAUUCAGUGUGAAAAUCGAAGUGUGUGAACAUGAGGGAUUUAAGUGUGGUUAACAAAUGUACAUUUAUUUUUUCUCUGAUGUUGCUAUAGAAGUCUCUUACUAAAAUAUAAAGAUGCAAUUCAGUGUGAAAAUCGAAGUGUGUGAACAUGAGGGAUUUAAGUGUGGUUAACAAAUGUACAUUUAUUUUUUCUCUGAUGUUGCUAUAGAAGUCUCUGAUCUCUUUGUAUGGAUAGCGACGAUUCCUAUGCUUUUAUCUCUGUCGAUUCUUUUGGGUCGUGCACGGCAUCUAUGGCCUCCGAUAUUAACAAUUUGGAUUUUGGUAGGAAAGCUAAAAUGCCAUUUGGAGACUAAUUUAACAAUUUUGGUUUUUUGGUUGGAAAGGGGAAAGGUCGCAUGGGAUCAGUCUUUGAGAUCAAAUCUUGUACAUUUCUGUUCUGUCCUUGGUGAAUGUUUUUAUUUUACCUCUUCUCUGUUUUUAAUUUUAUCUUUGUGAUGUUUGCUGUAAAAAUGUGGCUUGCAUUUGUGUCCUUGGAACUUCUUCGGUAUUUCUGUUGGUGAUUAUCUCUACCGCUCGUGCUUCUAUCUUGCUGCGAACGGAGACCUUGACCGUGUAGUUUUUUUCUGUUGUGCUUGACCAGUUUGUGAUAGCAUUAGCAUGAGAAGUUUAGGUUCAGACCAUUUCUGUGUUUUGAGCGGAUAAUCAAUUGACCGUGCACCAAGACAUUUCAUCUGACUGGAUAAUUGAGAUUUUUGGCUGUCUUUUUCUACUUUCUUGAGUAUUUGACUCUUCCUAUUUCUCAUGCACAGAGCCUUGUAGUCUGACUGGAUGAUUGAGAUUUUCUUUCUCGAGUAUUUGUGUCUCUUUUCUAUUUCUCGUGUACAGAGCCUUGUUGUUUUAUUAACUUUUGGCUAUCUUUCCUAUUUCUAUGAUUUGAGUCUUCUGCUUCUAUUGUAUUCCCCUUGUUGUUUUGCAAGUGCCAUUCUUUUUUCCUCGAGUAUUUAUUUGCCUCCAUCUUAUGUUUCCCCUCCAUUUUUGUUCUCUUACUGUACUGGGAAUUCUGUGUUAUGUGGGCUGAUGCUGUUGACAGUAUAUUAUUAUCUUUUGACUUGAAGUAUUUUGUAUUUCCCUAUCCUUCUAUAAUUUGGGUGUUGCUUGUUCUAUAAUUUGAGUUUCCCCUAUUCUUCUCUCCAAGACUCUGCUUUGUGUUGGAGAGCUGGUGCUGUUGACGAUAUACUAAUGUGGUAUACUAAUGUCGUCGUCAUUUGUUACUUGUCACAUUUGAAGUAUUUCCUUUGUAGGAAGGAUUAACAGUGUUCUCCUUGCAUUUGUACUAUUUUGUUUGUAUGUAGGAUCACGUUUGAAGUAUUUUGUUUUGGUUACAAUCUAAAAUUUCCAUUGCAUUUGCAGUAUUUUGUUUGUAUCUUAUUUUCCGGUAUCCUUAUUUUCUAUUAUCUUGUAUGAUGAGUUUUGAAGUAUUCUUUUAUGUAACUUGAGGCAGUUACAAUAUAAAAUCUAAAACUUGCUCUUCUGAUUUGAGUUUUGCGUUUUGCUUCAAUAGUUGUAUUUUUUUUUCUUGUUUUCGAAUUAUUCAUUUAAAAAUUUUCUAGUGUCCUUUGUUUCUUGGGCUUUUUUGUUUUUGAAAUUGACACGGGAUUCUGUGUCCUUUGUUUCUUGGGCUUUUUUGUUUUUGAAAUUGACACGGGAUUCUGUGUUGUGUUGUGUUGUUGGCAGUGUAUAUUAAUAUUUUUUGACACUUUCUACAGUGGUUUGUGUUGGUGUUGUUGGCGGUAUAUUAACAACUUUGGACAUUUGCUACAGUGGUUUCGUCAUUUGAGGUAUUUUGUAGGUAGGGUUAGGUAACUCCGCCAUUGGGGGGUCAUCUACUCUGCCAAUGCCAGUCCCAAGCCUGGACAAAGGAGGAGGGCCAUCCUACUAUGAUCAUGCGUUGUAUCGAGUGGUCAUCUACUCUGCCAAUGCCAGUCCCAAGCCUGGAUAAAGGAGGAGGGCCCAAGCCUGGGUCUCAUCGUCACUGUUCUUUUCUUUAAAAGUCUGGUGCCGUGAAUGAAACCUCUGUUAUUGCAAUCUUCCCAAACUGGAGCGAGGGAAUUUAGAUUUGUUGUGUACUAUAUAUUAAUUUGAAGUAGAUUCAUUGCUGCCUGGGUUAUUCUACUAUUA
This is a long non-coding RNA of Nymphaea colorata (pocket water lily), 8421 nucleotides long. RefSeq lists it as uncharacterized. Lineage: Eukaryota; Viridiplantae; Streptophyta; Magnoliopsida; Nymphaeales; Nymphaeaceae. The transcript has 2 exons. The record is from RefSeq and is a predicted model, not a curated record.